GUAGAAAAACUUGUCUCUUUAGUUCAUAGCUCAUCAUAUAGAAAGGAACUGUGCCCCAUUAGCCAAAAAGCCUCAUCCAUGCCUGGAUCUGAUUUAGGUGAUGGCCACCUGGAACCUGGCCUGAGCGUGAUGUUGCAAUGCAGUGAGAACUCCAGGGGUCAUUGGAGGGUAACUGUGUUUCCUGUGUAUUCCGAAGGCAGGCAAAUGAUCACACACUAAGGAUGACUAAUACUCACCUUUGGAGUCUGGAGUCCCUAUAUGAAAAGUUCACUGGAAGGACCAUGUGAAGAGGGCCUGAGACCAUGUGGAAAGACUGAAGAGCACAGGUGUGAAUUGGCCUCAAGAUGUAGGUGUUCUCCAAAACAGCAGCAGAAUCACAGAACCCAAGAAUGG
Manis pentadactyla (Chinese pangolin) is the source of this 393-nucleotide long non-coding RNA. RefSeq lists it as uncharacterized. NCBI's taxonomy places the organism in Eukaryota, Metazoa, Chordata, Mammalia, Pholidota, Manidae. The transcript is spliced from 3 exons. The record is from RefSeq and is a predicted model, not a curated record.